UUUAACGAGGACCUAUGAGAGGGCAAGUCUGGUGCCAGCAGCCGCGGUAAUUCCAGCUCUCAAGGUGUAUAUCGCCAUUGCUGCGGUUAAAAAGCUCGUAGUUGGAUCUGCGCCUUCGGACUCGGUCCUCCCAACGGGUGCGAACUGAGCUCCAAGGCUACUACUGCUGGUUUUCCCUUGAUGCUCUUCACUGGGUGUCUUGGGUGGCUAGCGAGUUUACUUUGAAAAAAUUAGAGUGCUCAAAACAGGCUAUUGCCUGAAUACCGGUGCAUGGAAUAAUAGAAUAGGAUCUCGGUCCUAUUUUGUUGGUUUUCGGAACUGAGAUAAUGGUUAAGAGGGACAGACGGGGGCAUUCGUAUCGCUGCGUGAGAGGUGAAAUUCUUGGACCGCAGCGAGACGCCCAACUGCGAAAGCAUUUGCCAAGAAUGUCUUCGUUAAUCAAGAACGAAAGUCAGAGGUUCGAAGGCGAUCAGAUACCGCCCUAGUUCUGACCGUAAACGAUGCCAACUAGCGAUCCGCCGGUGGUAAUUACGCCCCGGCGGGGAGCUUCCCGGAAACGAAAGUCUUCCGGUUCCGGGGGAAGUAUGGUUGCAAAGCUGAAACUUAAAGGAAUUGACGGAAGGGCACCACCAGGAGUGGAGCUUGCGGCUUAAUUUGACCCAACACGGGAAAACUCACCCGGCCCGGACACCGUAAGGAUUGACAGAUUGAGAGCUCUUUCUUGAUUCGGUGGUUGGUGGUGCAUGGCCGUUCUUAGUUGGUGGAGCGAUUUGUCUGGUUUAUUCCGAUAACGAACGAGACUCUGGCCUACUAACUAGUGACAGAAUUAUUGCUGUUCUGGUUACUUCUUAGAGGGACAAGUGGUGUUCAGCCACACGAAAUUGAGCAAUAACAGGUCUGUGAUGCCCUUAGAUGUCCGGGGCUGCACGCGUGCUACACUGGAGGAAACAGCAUGCAAAACCAUUGCCGAGAGGCAUUGGUAAACCCGAGAAAAUCUUCCGUGAUCGGGAUCGGGAAUUGCAAUUAUUUCCCUUGAACGAGGAAUUCCCAGUAAGUGUGGGUCAUCAGCUCGCGCUGAUUACGUCCCUGCCCUUUGUACACACCGCCCGUCGCUGCCCGGGACUGAGCCGUUUCGAGAAAAGCGGGGACUGCUGCUGUUGGGGCUUUCGGGCCUUGGCUUCGGUGGAAACCGCUUUAAUCGCAGUGGCUUGAACCGGGCAAAAGUCGUAACAAGGUUUCCGUAGGUGAACCUGCGGAAG
RNAcentral lists this ribosomal RNA (1259 nucleotides) under metagenome. RNAcentral describes it as "SSU rRNA". It matches the Rfam family "Eukaryotic small subunit ribosomal RNA", at positions 533 to 1823 of the family's 1831-position model. The record is from RNAcentral.